This 740-nucleotide ribosomal RNA is filed under the name uncultured Prevotella sp. Its description in RNAcentral is "bacterial SSU rRNA". It matches the Rfam family "Bacterial small subunit ribosomal RNA", at positions 28 to 776 of the family's 1533-position model. Lineage: Bacteria; Pseudomonadati; Bacteroidota; Bacteroidia; Bacteroidales; Prevotellaceae. The record is from RNAcentral.
GAUGAACGCUAGCUAUAGGCUUAACACAUGCAAGUCGAGGGGAAACGGCAGAGAGUGCUUGCACACUUUGGACGUCGACCGGCGCACGGGUGAGUAACGCGUAUCCAACCUGCCCUUUACUUGGGGAUAACCCGUUGAAAGACGGACUAAUACCCAAUGAUAUUCAUUGAUGACAUCUGAUUUGAAUUAAAGAUUUAUCGGUAUAGGAUGGGGAUGCGUCUGAUUAGCUUGUUGGUGAGGUAACGGCUCACCAAGGCAACGAUCAGUAGGGGUUCUGAGAGGAAGGUCCCCCACAUUGGAACUGAGACACGGUCCAAACUCCUACGGGAGGCAGCAGUGAGGAAUAUUGCACAAUGGGGGAAACUCUGAUGCAGCGACGCCGCGUGAGCGAAGAAGGUUUUCGAAUCGUAAAGCUCUGUCCUAUGGGAAGAUAAUGACGGUACCAUAGGAGGAAGCCCCGGCUAACUACGUGCCAGCAGCCGCGGUAAUACGUAGGGGGCAAGCGUUGUCCGGAAUCACUGGGCGUAAAGGGUUCGCGGGCGGAAAUGCAAGUCAGUUGUGAAAGGCAGAGGCUCAACCUCUGUAAGCAAUUGAAACUGUAUUUCUUGAGAUGUGGAGAGGCAAGUGGAAUUCCUAGUGUAGCGGUGAAAUGCGUAGAUAUUAGGAAGAAUACCGGUGGCGAAGGCGACUUGCUGGACACAAACUGACGCUGAGGAACGAAAGCGUGGGUAGCAAACAGG